ACACGUGUAGGCUUUGCUUCUCUUCUCUCUCUCUCAACCUUCUCUCUCUCAACCUCUCUCUGUGUGCAAACGAGAUUCUCUCCCUCUCUGUGGCUUCAUGAUGCAAAUGGAUAGAUUGUGCUUCAUACAAUAUCCAAACUUUCAAAAUUCGCCAUACCCAUCGAUUCAUCUCUUUCCCCAGACGAGAAAAGCCCUAAUUUUGAUUUCCUAGAAAAAAAAUAAAAAUCAGCAGAUGGGUGCGAGCGAGAAGUUCGAUGGAAUCCUCCCCAUCCAGAAAUCCGAUGUCUAAGUUUAUUACUGGUGAAAGUAAAUUUGAACCGAAUCUGAUGCGUCUCAUGUUUGAUGCGUCUCCAAAAUUCGAUGUCUAAUUACUGGAAUAUAAUUUUGAUCUUCGUGGGAAAAAAAUGGAGCUUUGUGAAUGUUCAAGAGCUGCAGAGUUUCCAGAAGAGCUUUGUGAAUGUUCAAGACAUUUUGGAUCAGAACCGGCUGUUGAUCGACGAGAUCAAUCUGAACCAUGAGUCCAAUCAACCUGAAAACUUGCAAUCUAAAGGCAAGUUUAUUACACUGAAAACACCAUUCUGCUGGUCUGCAAAGAUACCAAAUCGUAAAACUCCAGUUCGGUCCUGUUUUAGUUUCCUUGUGCACUCACUUGUGCCUUUGUACUCUCAUAUGUAAGUGAAUUUUUGUUUUCCUCAUUGCAAGACAUCCUUGAGACUUUGUCCAUAUCAGUGAUAUUAAGAAGAAGCUGUUCAAGGAUUUAGAUGGCAUAGCCAAGAGUUCUGCGAUUCUAGCUUCUAACACAAGUUCCAUCUCCAUCACUCGUCUUGCUUCUGCAACACAAAGACCUUGCCAGGUAAGAAGGAAGUUGUGUCUACAGAUAAAGCACCACCUGCUGUAGGACCAUACUCUCAGGCCAUCAAAGCCAACGGUUUCGUUUUCGUUUCAGGUGUUCUUGGACUUGUGCCUGAGGUUUGUUUCACGUCUUUUUAGAAUAAGUAGUCUUGAGUUUUGGUUUACCUUUUUGAUUAUAUAUUGUUCAUCUUCUAUGUUUGUUCUGGACACUGCUCGAGUACACGCUUUCAUCGCUUCUUUUUCCACAUAGAAACCAAUAGCUAGUGGUUAGUUCAAUAUCAUUGAUCAAUUUGAAGUU
Molecule: long non-coding RNA, 1150 nt
Organism: Brassica oleracea var. oleracea
Lineage: Eukaryota; Viridiplantae; Streptophyta; Magnoliopsida; Brassicales; Brassicaceae
Exons: 3
Source: RefSeq, a predicted model, not a curated record